This 497-nucleotide ribosomal RNA is filed under the name uncultured bacterium. RNAcentral's name for it is "partial 16S ribosomal RNA". It matches the Rfam family "Bacterial small subunit ribosomal RNA", at positions 28 to 507 of the family's 1533-position model. The record is from RNAcentral.
GACGAACGCUGGCGGCGUGCCUAAUACAUGCAAGUCGAGCGAUGACGACUGGUGUUUGCGCCAAUUUGAAGAGCAGCGAACGGGUGAGUAACGCGUGGGCAAUCUGCCUUUGAGCGGGGGACAACAUUUGGAAACGAAUGCUAAUACCGCAUAACAACUUUAAACAUAAGCUGUAAGUGUGAAAGAUGCAAUUGCAUCACUUAAAGAUGAUCCCGCGUUGUAUUAGCUAGUUGGUGAGGUAAGGGCUCACCAAGGCGAGGAUACAUAGCCGCCCUGAGAGGGGGCUCGGCCUCACUGGGUUGGAGACACGGUCCACCCCCCUGCGGGAGGCAGCAGUAGGGGAUCUUCGGCGAAGGAAGCAAGGCGGAACGAUCAACGCCGCGUGAGUGCAGAAGGUUGUCAGAUCGUGUAACUCUGGUAGUACAGAAGGACGUUGAGCACUGUCGAAUGCUCAUAUAGUGACGGUACCUACCCAGGAAGGCACGGCUAACUACGUG